GGUCAAGCUACUAAGGGCGUGUGGUGGAUGCCUUGGCACCGAGAGGCGAAGAAGGACGUAGUUACCUGCGAUAAGCCACGAGUAACUGGAAGCAAGUUUAUCCGUGGAUCUCCGAAUGGGGCAACCCCGCCCGGCAAACCCGGGCGAUCGCCGACUGAAUACAUAGGUCGGCGAGGCCAACCGAGGGAACUGAAACAUCUAAGUACCUCGAGGAAAAGAAAGCAAUGCGCGACUCCGUGAGUAGUGGCGAGCGAAAGCGGAAGAGCCCAAACCGUGCGUACGUGAUAGGCCGUAUCCGUUGUGCGCAUGGGGUUGCGGGACGUGUCUUCGGGAAAAUACGGAGUCCCGGAGAGGUUACAAAUCAGGAUUUUAGCCGAACACCGCUGGAUAAGCGGGGCCAUAGACGGUGAUAGCCCGGUACGCGAAAAGAUCCUGACCUCUUUGACAUGUUCCCAAGUAGCGCGGGACACGUGGAACCCCGUGUGAAUCUGGGAGGCCCAUCUCCCAAGGCUAAGUACUACUCGGUGACCGAUAGUGAACCAGUACCGUGAGGGAAAGGUGAAAAGCACCCCGAAGGGGGAGUGAAAUAGAACCUGAAACCACAUGCUUACAAUCAGUGGGAGGACGAUGGCUUCGGCCCGUCUGACCGCGUGCCUUUUGCAUAAUGAGCCGGCGAGUUAAUUUGUGUAGCGGGCGAAGGGCUUAUGGUCCACAGCCGCAGCGAAAGCGAGUCUGAAUAGGGCGUAUGUUGCACAGAUUAGACCCGAAACCGGGUGAUCUAUCCAUGACCAGGGUAAAGUUCUCGUAAAAGGGAAUGGAGGCCCGAACCAGUGGCAGUUGAAAAUGCUUUGGAUGAGUUGUGGAUAGGGGUGAAAGGCCAAUCAAACUCGGAAAUAGCUGGUUCUCCCCGAAAUAUAUUUAGGUAUAGCGUCGCACGGUAGCCAACGGGGGUAGAGCACUGGAUGGGCUAGGGGUCCUACCAGAUUACUGAACCCAACCAAACUCCGAAUACCGUUGGUGGAACUGCGGCAGUCAGACUGCGGGGGAUAAGCUCCGUGGUCAAAAGGGAAUCAGCCCAGACCGUCAGCUAAGGUCCCAAAUUCAAGCUCAGUGGGAAACGAUGUGUAAUUGCACAGACAACCAGGAUGUUGGCUUAGAAGCAGCCAUUCAUUUAAAGAGUGCGUAACAGCUCACUGGUCGAGUGGUUGUGCGCGGAAGAUGUAACGGGGCUAAGCUUGAAACCGAAGCUACGGAUGGUCCGCCUUGAGCGGACCGUGGUAGGGGAGCGUUCCAUGCAGGGUUGAAGCGUGACCGUAAGGACGCGUGGACCGCAUGGAAGUGAUCAUGCCGGCAUUAGUAACGACAAGACAGGUGAGAAACCUGUCCGCCGAAAACCCAAGGGUUCCCGGGCCAGGGUAAUCCUCCCGGGGUUAGUCGGAUCCUAAGCCGAGGCCGAAAGGCGUAGGCGAUGGAAAACAGGCACAAAGAUUCCUGUACCACCGCGUCACCGUCUGAGCGACGGGGCGACGCAGAAAGAUAGGGCGCCCGCCUAUUGGACGGCGGGCUAAGCGUGCGGGAGGCAGCCCAGGCAAAUCCGGGCUGCACUACUCCGAGGCGUUAUGGGACGUGGAUCCUUCGGGUGAAGCGGAUCGUCCGAUUCUAUGCUGCCAAGAAAAACCUCUAGCGAGGUGGCCGGUGUCCGUACCGUAAACCGACACAGGUGGGUGAGAAGAGUAUUCUAAGGCGCUCGGGAGAACCAUCCUUAAGGAACUCGACCAAUUGGCCCCGUAUCUUCGGAAGAAGGGGUGCUCUGGGCGGUGAAGGGUUUACCCCGUAAGCUGCUUGGAGUUGCAACAAAGAGGCUCAGGCGACUGUUUAACAAAAACAUAGGUCUCUGCUAAGUCGUAAGACGACGUAUAGGGACUGACGCCUGCCCAAUGCCGGAAGGUUAACGGGAGGAGUUAGCAUAAUUUAUUAUGCGAAGCUCCGAACCGAAGCCCUGGUUAAUGGCGGCCGUAACUAUAACGGUCCUAAGGUAGCGAAAUUCCUUGUCGGGUAAGUUCCGACCUGCACGAAUGGCGUAACGAUCUGAGCGUUGUCUCAAGGGUGGUCCCGGUGAAGUUGUAUUACCUGUGAAGAUGCAGGUUACCCGCGACAGGACGGAAAGACCCCGUGCACCUUUACUACAGCUUGAUAUUGACUUUUGUUUUGGUCUGUAUAGGAUAGGUGGGAGACAUUGAUGCCAGGGCGCUAGCUUUGGCGGAGUCAACCUUGGAAUACCACCCUGAUUAAAAUAGAAGUCUAACCCUGAUCCCGUGAAGCCGGGCAGGGAACAGUGUCUGGUGGGUAGUUUGACUGGGGCGGUCGCCUCACAAAGAGUAACUGAGGCGCCCAAAGGUUCCCUCAGCAUGUUUGGAAAUCAUGCUUCGAGUGCAAAGGCAAAAGGGAGCUUAACUGCGAGACCUACAAGUCGAGCAGAUACGAAAGUAGGGCUUAGUGAUCCAGCGGUUCCGUAUGGAAGGGCCGUUGCUCAACGGAUAAAAGGUACGCCGGGGAUAACAGGCUAAUCUCCCCCAAGAGUUCACAUCGACGGGGAGGUUUGGCACCUCGAUGUCGGCUCGUCACAUCCUGGGGCUGAAGCAGGUCCCAAGGGUUCGUCUGUUCGCCGAUUAAUGUGGCACGCGAGCUGGGUUCAGAACGUCGUGAGACAGUUCGGUCCCUAUCCGUCGUGGGCGUAGGAGAUUUGAGGGGAGUUGCCUCUAGUACGAGAGGACCGAGGUGAACGAACCUAUGGUGUUCCGGUUGUCACGCCAGUGGCACAGCCGGGUAGCUAUGUUCGGAAGGGAUAAGCGCUGAAGGCAUCUAAGCACGAAGCCCCCCCCAAGAUAAGAUCUCCCUGGGCCGUAAGGCCCCUAAAGGGUCCUGGAAGACUACCAGGUGAUAGGCUGGAGGUGUAAGCGUAGCAAUACGUUCAGCUUACCAGUACUAAUUGCCCGUGAGGCUUGACCUU
This 3010-nucleotide ribosomal RNA is filed under the name Candidatus Hydrogenedentota bacterium. Its description in RNAcentral is "23S ribosomal RNA". It matches the Rfam family "Bacterial large subunit ribosomal RNA". The record is from RNAcentral. Lineage: Bacteria; Pseudomonadati; Candidatus Hydrogenedentota.